RNAcentral lists this ribosomal RNA (290 nucleotides) under uncultured bacterium. RNAcentral's name for it is "partial 16S ribosomal RNA". It matches the Rfam family "Bacterial small subunit ribosomal RNA", at positions 524 to 807 of the family's 1533-position model. The record is from RNAcentral.
UACGAAGGGGGCUAGCGUUGUUCGGAAUUACUGGGCGUAAAGCGCGCGCAGGCGGUUUUUCAAGUCAGUGGUGAAAGCCCGGAGCUCAACUCCAGAACUGCCCUUGAUACUGGCGGUCUCGAGUCCGGGAGAGGUGAGUGGAACUGCGAGUGUAGAGGUGAAAAUUCGUAGAUAUUCGCAAGAACACCAGUGGCGAAGGCGGCUCACUGGCCCGGUACUGACGCUGAGGUGCGAAAGCGAUGGGGAGCAAACAGGGGAUUAAGAUGUCCCGGGUAGUCCGAGAAGCCAAC